This is a long non-coding RNA of Chenopodium quinoa (quinoa), 994 nucleotides long. RefSeq lists it as uncharacterized. The record is from RefSeq and is a predicted model, not a curated record. NCBI's taxonomy places the organism in Eukaryota, Viridiplantae, Streptophyta, Magnoliopsida, Caryophyllales, Amaranthaceae. The transcript has 3 exons.
UCAGGUUAUAAUGAGAACCUCACCUAUAAUAUAAACUAGGAACUCAUUGCAACCGUUAGAUUAAAACAAAGAAUGAGAACCUCACCUAUAAUAGGAACUAGGAACUCAUUGCAACCGUCAGAUUAAAACAAAGUGAAUGGCUGCGAUUGUGUCAUGAUUAAAUCAGAAAAUUAGCCAAAAAAAUAAAAAAAAAACUUGUGUUUCUCUCUCCUCUUUCUCGCUGACAACAUUUUCUCUCUCUAGCGUUUUUCAAGCUUUCUCACCUCAAUCAUCAGCUCAAAAGUCAUGAAUUUUGCUACAAUUUAAACAAUUCUUCAAUAAUUUGCUGAACUAAUUGCACAAUUUCUCAACUAUAGAGGGAAUUUCGAGCUUUUUCGAGCUUUUGAUACUCCAUUGAAGCAGCUUCUGAGGCUUGGAAGUAUCUCUGGGCUUAUCCUAUGUAAGAAAGAUGUGGGUACUUAAGAUACAAUCCGGAGAGCUAUGGGCAUAAUUGGUGAGCAUGAGAAAGCUAUUAUUCAACCUGAUCGCAUGUUGUAUGCUCAUAUAGCUUCUAUACAGUGAUGGGAACCUUCUGAAAUUAGGGUGUUCAAGUUGAAUACCGAUGCAUCCUGCUUUGAGGAUAUUUUAUUUGGUUUGGGGUCAUUAUUCGUGACACUACAGGAGAUGUUCUGCUGGCUACUUGUUGCAGAUUGCAGGAAAAUUUUGCAAUUGAUGUUAGUGAGGCGCUAGCUGCUAGGAAUGCUUUCAAAUCGCAAUUGAAGCAGGUCUCAAUAGAAUUAGAUUGGAGACAGACAAUGCUAAACUGUACCAUCAUCUCAAGAGCAACAAACGAGAGAAAUAAGGUUGCUCACAUAUUAACACAUUUGAGUAAAUGUUAUAAUGAAAUGAGAGUGUGGAUCGUAGAGGUGCCCGAUGAUUUAUCAGAUGUAGUGGUUCUUGACAUUUCAAGUCUUCCUUGAUAAAUUUACUUGUUUGCUUUGUGUCCAAAAAAAAA